CCUACGGGGGGCAGCAGUGAGGAAUAUUGGUCAAUGGUCGGGAGACUGAACCAGCCAAGCCGCGUGAGGGAGGAAGGUACAGAGUAUCGUAAACCUCUUUUGUCGGGGAACAAAGACUGGGACGCGUCCCCGGAUGAGUGUACCUGAAGAAAAAGCAUCGGCUAACUCCGUGCCAGCAGCCGCGGUAAUACGGAGGAUGCGAGCGUUAUCCGGAUUUAUUGGGUUUAAAGGGUGCGCAGGCGGUUUGUCAAGUCAGCGGUAAAAAUUCCGGGCUCAACCC
RNAcentral lists this ribosomal RNA (280 nucleotides) under uncultured bacterium. Its description in RNAcentral is "partial 16S ribosomal RNA". It matches the Rfam family "Bacterial small subunit ribosomal RNA", at positions 338 to 615 of the family's 1533-position model. The record is from RNAcentral.